GUGCUCAACCGUCCUUCGGGACGGUGCACUCUCCGNCGCGGGCCAGCAUCGGUUUCGACGAUUAGAUAAAGGCCUUGAUAACGUAGCUCCUCGGAGUGUUAUAGAUCAUGGCGGAAUGUAGUCAGUCGGGACCGAGGAAUGCGCAUUGCUAGGAUGCUGGCGUAAUGGUUGCCAGCGACCCGUCUUGAAACACGGACCAAGGAGUCGACCAACCGCGCGAGUGUUUGGGUUUUAAACCCACGCGCGUAAUGAAAAUGAACGUAGGUGGUAGCCUUUGGGUGCACCAUCGACCGAUCUUGAUGUUUUCGGAUGGAUUUGAGUAUGAGCCCGGCUGGUCGGACCCGAAAGGUAUGUAUUUCUCCUUUGGGGAGGGUCUUCGACGUUUCCCUUUUCCAUGCAUCCGCUAAUAGCUUUUUUAGAUGGUGAACUAUGCGUGAAUAGGGUGAAGCCAGAGGAAACUCUGGUGGAGGCUCGCAGCGGUUCUGACGUGCAAAUCGAUCGUCAAAUUUGCGCAUAGGGGCGAAAGACUAAUCGAACCAUCUAGUAGCUGGUUCCCGUCGAAGUUUCCCUCAGGAUAGCAGCAGCGAAAACAGUCUCAUGAGGUAGAGCAAACGAUUAGAGGUCUUGGGGUUGAAAUCGACCUUAACCUAUUCUCGAACUUCGAAUAUGUGAGAAGUCCUUGUUACUUAGUUGAACGUGGACAUUUGGAUGUGUCGCUGCUAGUGGGCC
RNAcentral lists this ribosomal RNA (729 nucleotides) under Ocellularia rhodostroma. RNAcentral's name for it is "eukaryotic LSU rRNA". It matches the Rfam family "Eukaryotic large subunit ribosomal RNA", at positions 454 to 1132 of the family's 3401-position model. Lineage: Eukaryota; Fungi; Ascomycota; Lecanoromycetes; Ostropales; Graphidaceae. The record is from RNAcentral.